UACGGAGGGAGCUAGCGUUAUUCGGAAUUACUGGGCGUAAAGCGCACGUAGGCGGCUUUGUAAGUAAGAGGUGAAAGCCCAGAGCUCAACUCUGGAAUUGCCUUUUAGACUGCAUCGCUUGAAUCAUGGAGAGGUCAGUGGAAUUCCGAGUGUAGAGGUGAAAUUCGUAGAUAUUAGGAAGAACACCAGUGGCGAAGGCGGCUCACUGGUCCGGUACUGACGCUGAGGUGCGAAAGCGUGGGGAGCAAACAGG
RNAcentral lists this ribosomal RNA (253 nucleotides) under uncultured bacterium. RNAcentral's name for it is "partial 16S ribosomal RNA". It matches the Rfam family "Bacterial small subunit ribosomal RNA", at positions 524 to 776 of the family's 1533-position model. The record is from RNAcentral.